CCUACGGGGGGCAGCAGUAGGGAAUUUUCGUCAAUGGGCGCAAGCCUGAACGAGCGAUGCCGCGUGAGUGAAGAAGGCCUUCGGGUCGUAAAGCUCUGUUGCGGGGGAAAAAAGGCAGCAUCAGGAAAUGGGUGCUGACUGAUGGUGCCCCGCCAGAAAGUCACGGCUAACUACGUGCCAGCAGCCGCGGUAAUACGUAGGUGGCGAGCGUUAUCCGGAAUGAUUGGGCGUAAAGGGUGCGCAGGCGGUCCUGCAAGUCUGGAGUGAAACGCAUGAGCUCAACUCAUGCAUGGCUUUGGAAACUG
Molecule: ribosomal RNA, 305 nt
Filed under: uncultured bacterium
Lineage: Bacteria
Description: bacterial SSU rRNA
Rfam family: Bacterial small subunit ribosomal RNA
Source: RNAcentral